Molecule: ribosomal RNA, 206 nt
Filed under: uncultured Pseudomonadota bacterium
Lineage: Bacteria; Pseudomonadati; Pseudomonadota
Description: uncultured proteobacterium partial 16S ribosomal RNA
Rfam family: Bacterial small subunit ribosomal RNA
Source: RNAcentral
CACGCAGGCGGUCGGAUAAGUCAGAUGUGAAAGCCCCGGGCUCAACCUGGGAACUGCAUUUGAAACUGUCCGACUAGAGUCUUGUAGAGGGGGGUAGAAUUCCAGGUGUAGCGGUGAAAUGCGUAGAGAUCUGGAGGAAUACCGGUGGCGAAGGCGGCCCCCUGGACAAAGACUGACGCUCAGGUGCGAAAGCGUGGGAGCAAACA